Molecule: unclassified non-coding RNA, 179 nt
Filed under: plant metagenome
Description: partial contains small subunit ribosomal RNA, internal transcribed spacer 1, and 5.8S ribosomal RNA
Source: RNAcentral
UUUCCGUAGGUGAACCUGCGGAAGGAUCAUUAAGGUGUGUACCGUGUGUGGUAUAUAUAACAACUGUUGGAAAGUGGGUUUGGGCCGGCAGGCCCAAGCGCAUUAUAUAAGAUAAGAUAAGAAUUAUUUGAUGAUAAUUUGAGAAAAGACAACUUUUAACAAUGGAUCUCUUGGCUCUU